This 73-nucleotide transfer RNA is filed under the name Nippostrongylus brasiliensis. It matches the Rfam family "tRNA". From Rfam's summary of the family: Transfer RNA (tRNA) molecules are approximately 80 nucleotides in length. Their secondary structure includes four short double-helical elements and three loops (D, anti-codon, and T loops). The record is from Rfam by way of RNAcentral. Lineage: Eukaryota; Metazoa; Nematoda; Chromadorea; Rhabditida; Heligmosomidae.
GUCUCAGUGGCGUAGUGGUUAACGCUCGGCCCCGGUUAUGCGCGAGACGCGGGUUCGAAACCCGCAUGAGAUG